GAUGAACGCUGACAGAAUGCUUAACACAUGCAAGUCUACUUGAUUCUACUUCGGUAGUUGAUGGUGGCGGACGGGUGAGUAACGCGUAAAGAAUCUGCCCUUUAGUUUGGGAUAACCUUUGGAAACGAAGGCUAAUACCGAAUAUUAUGGAGAUGUCGCAUGACGACUUCAUGAAAGCUAUAUGCGCUAGAGGAGGACUUUGCGUCCCAUUAGUUAGUUGGUGAGGUAAUGGCUCACCAAGACCGCGAUGGGUAGCCGGCCUGAGAGGGUGAUGGGCCACAAGGGAAAUGAGACACGGUCCUUACUCCUACUGGAGGCAGCAGUGGGGAAUAUUGGACAAUGGACCACAAGUCUGAUCCAGCAAUUCUGUGUGCACGAUGAAGGUCUUCGGAUUGUAAAGUGCUUUCAGUAGGGAAGAAAAAAAUGACGAUACCUACAGAAGAAGCGACGGCUAAAUAUGUGCCAGCAGCCGCCGUAA
RNAcentral lists this ribosomal RNA (478 nucleotides) under uncultured bacterium. Its description in RNAcentral is "partial 16S ribosomal RNA". It matches the Rfam family "Bacterial small subunit ribosomal RNA", at positions 28 to 523 of the family's 1533-position model. The record is from RNAcentral.